UGGGGAAUAUUGGACAAUGGGGGCAACCCUGAUCCAGCAAUGCCGCGUGUGUGAAGAAGGCCUGCGGGUUGUAAAGCACUUUCAGUAGGGAAGAAAAGCCUGGGGCUAAUACCCUCGGGUUUUGACGUUACCUAAAGAAGAAGCACCGGCUAACUCCGUGCCAGCAGCCGCGGUAAUACGGAGGGUGCGAGCGUUAAUCGGAAUUACUGGGCGUAAAGCGCACGUAGGUGGUUGGGUAAGUCGGAUGUGAAAGCCCUGGGCUUAACCUGGGAACUGCAUUCGAUACUGCCCGGCUAGAGUAUGGGAGAGGGAGGCGGAAUUUCCGGUGUAGCGGUGAAAUGCGUAGAUAUCGGAAGGAACACCAAUGGCGAAGGCAGCUUCCUGGCCCAAUACUGACACUGAGGUGCGAAAGCGUGGGGAGCAAACAGGAUUAGAUACCCCCGUAGUCC
Molecule: ribosomal RNA, 449 nt
Filed under: uncultured bacterium
Lineage: Bacteria
Description: bacterial SSU rRNA
Rfam family: Bacterial small subunit ribosomal RNA
Source: RNAcentral